UACGUAGAGUGCAAGCGUUAAUCGGAAUUACUGGGCGUAAGCGUGCGCAGGCGGUUCGCUAAGACAGAUGUGAAAUCCCCGGGCUAACCUGGGAACUGCAUUGUGACUGGCGGGCUAGAGUAUGGCAGAGGGGGUAGAAUUCCACGUGUAGCAGUGAAAUGCGUAGAGAUGUGGAGGAAUACCGAUGGCGAAGGCAGCCCCCUGGGCCAAUACUGACGCUCAUGCACGAAAGCGUGGGGAGCAAACAGG
This 249-nucleotide ribosomal RNA is filed under the name uncultured bacterium. RNAcentral describes it as "partial 16S ribosomal RNA". It matches the Rfam family "Bacterial small subunit ribosomal RNA", at positions 524 to 776 of the family's 1533-position model. The record is from RNAcentral.